AAAUCGAGCCCUAAUUCCCCUAUAAAAGUUUGUCGUUGUCGCCGCUGAAGGGCUAGGCAAGGGUGGUGCUCGUCUGUCGACUCCUGGCGCUACCAUCCCUCUCUCUAAAAUCCAAUGACGUCGUUUCCGGUAGCUUCCGAAAAUUGGUGAGGCCGUUGUUCUAUGCCUCGCCCCUUUCUCCUGAAAACGCAGUUGCCUCUAUGUUAUUACCGAUGACACUUCUUUUCGUCCGGCGAUUAGGAGGGCCCACUUAGAAAUUAAAAGAAAAAAAAAAUUCAGUUAACUUGCGCGUAUAUCCCCCCAUUCUCGACCUCGGCUCAAAUACACCCUCAGAGUCCAUAAAAAGGGUGCAUUUAAACCC
This 361-nucleotide long non-coding RNA is filed under the name Salvia miltiorrhiza (redroot sage). RNAcentral describes it as "long non-coding RNA (SMIL_LNC008768)". Lineage: Eukaryota; Viridiplantae; Streptophyta; Magnoliopsida; Lamiales; Lamiaceae. The record is from RNAcentral.